RNAcentral lists this ribosomal RNA (301 nucleotides) under uncultured bacterium. RNAcentral's name for it is "partial 16S ribosomal RNA". It matches the Rfam family "Bacterial small subunit ribosomal RNA", at positions 509 to 807 of the family's 1533-position model. The record is from RNAcentral.
CAGUCGCCGCGGUAAAACCGAGGGUGCAAGCGUUAAUCGGAAUUACUGGGCGUAAAGCGCGCGUAGGUGGUUUGUUAAGUUGGAUGUGAAAUCCCCGGGCUCAACCUGGGAACUGCAUUCAAAACUGACUGACUAGAGUAUGGUAGAGGGUGGUGGAAUUUCCUGUGUAGCGGUGAAAUGCGUAGAUAUAGGAAGGAGCACCAGUGGCGAAGGCGGCCACCUGGACUAAUACUGACACUGAGGUGCGAAAGCGUGGGGAGCAAACAGGAUUAGAUACCCGGGUAGUCCCUGUCUCUUAUAC